Molecule: long non-coding RNA, 400 nt
Organism: Musa acuminata AAA Group (dessert banana)
Lineage: Eukaryota; Viridiplantae; Streptophyta; Magnoliopsida; Zingiberales; Musaceae
Exons: 3
Source: RefSeq, a predicted model, not a curated record
GGAAGAGCCAUUCGAGCCAAGAGAGCAGGCAAUUGCGGUGCCAUGGAACCUUAAGUGUUCGUUGCCAUCGGCCAGGCAUCUGGGGUGCUUCUUUGGGAGCUUACUGGCUUUCAGUUUGAUCGUCUCCCUAUCAUUUCUACUAUCUUCCUAGAGGUGUCUCCCUCCGCAAGUUCGCUCACUGCAGAGAUAAUAUCAUCACAGUCCAUCAGGAUAGAUGUGAAGAAAGGAAAUAUGAGAAAUGAUUAAACCUAUCAGUUCUAUGAGGCAACAGCUGCAGAGGAUACCUGCACAUCUGUUUCAUGGGAGAACCUUGGUGCUGGAACAGCAUGAUGAACUGCAGCAACACCAUUGCCAGGCAAAGCAGGAGAGAGAGAUGAAACCCCAGAAAAGGUAGGACAUC